This 334-nucleotide unclassified non-coding RNA is filed under the name soil metagenome. RNAcentral describes it as "partial contains 5.8S ribosomal RNA, internal transcribed spacer 2, and large subunit ribosomal RNA". The stretch from base 1 to 120 matches the Rfam family "5.8S ribosomal RNA", at positions 35 to 154 of the family's 154-position model. The record is from RNAcentral.
GAUGAAGAACGCAGCGAAAUGCGAUAAGUAAUGUGAAUUGCAGAAUUCAGUGAAUCAUCGAAUCUUUGAACGCACAUUGCGCCCGCCAGUAUUCUGGCGGGCAUGCCUGUUCGAGCGUCAUUUCAACCAUCAAGCCCCCGGCUUGUGUUGGGGACCUGCGGCUGCCGCAGGCCCUGAAAAGCAGUGGCGGGCUCGCUAUCACACCGAGUGCAGUAGUUUACUCUUCGCUCAGGACGUGUAGCGGGUUCCGGCCGUGAAACCCCCCAAUUUUCAAGGUUGACCUCGGAUCAGGUAGGAAUACCCGCUGAACUUAAGCAUAUCAAUAAGCGGAGGA